This 164-nucleotide ribosomal RNA is filed under the name Gagea lutea. RNAcentral describes it as "5.8S ribosomal RNA". It matches the Rfam family "5.8S ribosomal RNA". From Rfam's summary of the family: 5.8S ribosomal RNA (5.8S rRNA) is a component of the large subunit of the eukaryotic ribosome. It is transcribed by RNA polymerase I as part of the 45S precursor that also contains 18S and 28S rRNA. The record is from RNAcentral. Lineage: Eukaryota; Viridiplantae; Streptophyta; Magnoliopsida; Liliales; Liliaceae.
UUUAAGACUCUCGGCAACGGAUAUCUCGGCUCUUACAUCGAUGAAGAACGUAACGAAAUGCGAUACUUGGUGUGAAUUGCAGAAUCCCGUGAACCAUCGAGUCUUUGAACGCAAGUUGCGCCCGAGGCCUUUGGGUCGAGGGCACGCCUGCCUGGGCGUCACGC